RNAcentral lists this ribosomal RNA (420 nucleotides) under uncultured bacterium. Its description in RNAcentral is "bacterial SSU rRNA". It matches the Rfam family "Bacterial small subunit ribosomal RNA", at positions 9 to 416 of the family's 1533-position model. The record is from RNAcentral.
GAGUUUGAUCAUGGCUCAGAAUCAACGCUGGCGGCGUGCCUAACACAUGCAAGUCGAACGCGAAAGUGGAGCAAUCCAUGAGUAGAGUGGCAAACGGGUGAGUAACGCGUGGGCGACCUACCUCAGAGUGGGGGAUAACAUUCCGAAAGGAGUGCUAAUACCGCAUGACAUCCUGCCUUUAGAUAGGUGGAGAUCAAAGCCGGGGAUCGCAAGACCUGGCGCUUGGAGAGGGGCCCGCGUCCGAUUAGCUAGUUGGUGAGGUAACGGCUCACCAAGGCUCCGAUCGGUAUCCGGCCUGAGAGGGCGGACGGACACACUGGAACUGAGACACGGUCCAGACUCCUACGGGAGGCAGCAGUGGGGAAUUGUUCACAAUGGGCGCAAGCCUGAUGACGCAACGCCGCGUGGAGGAUGAAGACC